AAAAGCUAAAGAUUUCUUUCAAAAUCAAGAGAACAAUAGAGUAGAAAGAAUAGAUUUCAUUCAAAAGCUUUAAUCCACUUGGCUAUCUCGACUUUCAAAAGUAUGCUUGUUUGCUAUGUGCAUUUUCAUCCAUACCAGAAUAGAUUAUUUACAGGAAGGGACAAAUUCAUGACAGAAAUUUGAAUAUAUGAACUAGGGUACCUAUUGAGCCCAAUCCGGAAGAUUCUAUAGAGAUCAACUGAUAGACCUCUACUGCAUAUUACUUUGGAGGAGAAAUUAACUUAUUUUCUUCCAAAUCGUGCUUCAUGGAAGCAUCUCCACCCAUCAAUUCCUUUUCUACUUGUCUUGUUACCUACGCACCUACCGACCUAUCAAAUUGUUUCUUGAUUGACCAAUGGUGAUGAAGUGAGACAAAAUAUCUUGCGUUCCAAAAAAAAGUAAAAUAAAAAGGAAAAGGAACAAUCUGAGAUGGUCAUAGAAUUUGUCUGAUUGGUGCUGCUUUUGAUAUAUUUACCAUGAUGGAAUCAAAUACUUGUCUUCCAGAUGUGAGAACCUACAAUGAGUUAAUAUCUGGAUAUUGUGAGGUAAAACAAGUUUACAAGGCAAUGACACUUCUUAGUAAGAUGCUAGAGCAGAAGAUGUCUCCAAAUCUUGUAACUUUCCUUAUUAGUAUGUGGACAAUGUAAAGAGGGUGAUAUAGAUAGCGCUUUUAGGCUGCUUAGGUUGAUGGAAGAGCAAAAUGUAGUUCCUGACCAGUUAACUUAUGGUGCUCUCAUUGAUGCAUUAUGUGAAAGAGGGACGGUUGAGAAGGCUUAUCAUGUAUACGACUCUCUCAAGGAGAAUGGUUUAAAUUCAAAUGUAGUUAUAUACACUACUCUGAUUGAUGGAUUCUGCAAGGCUGGGAAGAUUGAUUUUUCCCUAACUUUGUUUGGAAGAAUGACAGGUGAGGGCUUCCAUCCGAACUCAUACACUUACAAUGUGCCGAUUAGUGGGCUGUGCAAAGAGAAAAAACUGCCUGAAGCAGCAGAAUUUCUGGAAAGAAUGCUGGAAGAAGGUGUGAAACCUACAGUUGUUACUUACACUAUUCUCAUUGAGCAAAUGUUAAAAGAAUAUGACUUUGAUCAUGCUUAUAAGGUGUUUCAUCAGAUGGUUUCCCUGGGAAAUAAACCUGAUGUUUGCACAAACACUUCAUUUCUUGUUGCAUAUUGCAACCAAGGGAAGUUGAAAGAAGCAGAGGAUUUGAUGGCUAAAAUGAAAGAAGAAGGGGUGCAACCAGAUUUCAAGGCUUACACAGUAUUAAUUGAUGGAAAUGGACGUUCAGGUUUACUAGAUCGUGCUUUUGAUAUGCCCAAAUGUAUGGUUGAUGCUAGAUGUGAACCAACUCAUUAUAUCUACUCUGUUUUAAUCAAACACCUCUUACAUGAGAAACGAACGAACGGAAGUGGUUGUAGAACGGAACUUGAUCCAAAAACAGAAGAAAACUCAAUUAAUAUAGCAGAUGUCUGGAAAAUAAUGGAAUAUGAUACAGCUCUUAUGCUCUUCAAGAAAAUGGUUGGAAAUGGCUGCUCACCAAAUGUUAACACUUACAAUGCACUCACCACUGGACUUUGUCGAGAAGGACGCUUUGAAGAAGCCUGGAAGUUGGUUGAUCAUAUGAAACAAUGUUGAAUGUCGCCCAGUGAAGAUAUGUAUAAUGCACUGGUGAAUUGUUGCUCUAAGUUGAAAAUGUAUGAGGAAGCAAUGAAGAUACUUGAUACCAUGCUCAAGCUUGGACUUCUACCACAUAUAGAAUCCUAUAAGCUGCUUGUUUGUGGAUUGUAUGAUGAAGGGAAUGAUGAGAUGGCUAAGUCUGCAUUCUGUAUGCUUAUCCAAUGUGGUUACAAUUAUGAUGAAGUUGCUUGGAAGCUUCUGAUUGUCCUGUUGUUGAAAAGGGUCUUGUUGAUAGAUGCUCUGAGCUGUUAAAUGUCAUGGAGAAACUUGGUUGCCAGCUUAAUCUACAGACUUAUACUAUGUUAAUUCAGGGUUUUCUUGAUAAAAACGAGGGCAUAUAGGAUAUAAGAUCCUUCACAUGAUUGGUCUGCGCGUUGCCAAAAGUUAUUUUCAUAAGCAUUUUUCUUAUUUUACGAGGCAAACGAUGGGCGAAUUUAUGAUGAGAAACAUGGAAUUCUUUUUUGGACUUUACCUUGAUCCAGUAAUUACCUCAUGUCAUCCUAAAUUUCACAAUUGUGACAAAAGGCCAAAUCACUUCUCAUGGAAGUUUUCUAGGACAUCUAGUGUAUCAAAAGAGAUUUUACAGGACAAAGUUCUGCAUUUGCCCUGGUGGCUCCCAGGUCAACAGUGCUCGCAUAGCAGAUUCUCUACAUUACAGGAACGACAUAGUGGGUGAAGUAACUGAGGUUGGCAGCAAGGUGAAGAAUGUCAAGUUUGGGGACAAAGUAGGAGUUGGAUGUAUGGUUGGAUCAUGUCGCCAGUGUGAUAAAUGCAGCAAUGAUCUUGAAAAUUACUGUUCUAAAAUGAUACCUACCUAUAGCGCUGUUUACACUGAUGGUACCAUUACAUGUGGAGGUUAAUGGUUGCUGAUGAGCACUUCAUUGUUCGUUGGCCUGAGAACUUUCCCCUUGACGUUGGUGCUCCUCUUUUAUGUGCUGGGAUUACAACUUACAGCCCCUAGAGGUACUUUGGACUGGACAAGCCGGGAAUGAA
Molecule: RNA transcript, 2703 nt
Organism: Olea europaea var. sylvestris
Lineage: Eukaryota; Viridiplantae; Streptophyta; Magnoliopsida; Lamiales; Oleaceae
Gene name: 8-hydroxygeraniol dehydrogenase-like
Exons: 2
Source: RefSeq, a predicted model, not a curated record